AGCUUGCUAGGAGGCGUCGAGCGGCGGACGGGUGAGUAAUGCAUAGGAAUCUGCCCGGUAGUGGGGGAUAACCUGAGGAAACUCAGGCUAAUACCGCAUACGUCCUACGGGAGAAAGCAGGGGCUCUUCGGACCUUGCGCUAUCGGAUGAGCUUAUGUCGGAUUAGCUGGUUGGUGAGGUAACGGCUCACCAAGGCGACGAUCCGUAGCUGGUCUGAGAGGAUGAUCAGCCACAUCGGGACUGAGACACGGCCCGAACUCCUACGGGAGGCAGCAGUGGGGAAUAUUGGACAAUGGGGGCAACCCUGAUCCAGCCAUGCCGCGUGUGUGAAGAAGGCCCUCGGGUUGUAAAGCACUUUCAGUGAGGAAGAAGGCUUGUCGGUUAAUACCCGGCAAGAAAGACAUCACUCACAGAAGAAGCACCGGCUAACUCCGUGCCAGCAGCCGCGGUAAUACGGAGGGUGCGAGCGUUAAUCGGAAUUACUGGGCGUAAAGCGUGCGUAGGCGGCUUGAUAAGCCGGUUGUGAAAGCCCCGGGCUCAACCUGGGAACGGCAUCCGGAACUGUCAGGCUAGAGUGCAGGAGAGGAAGGUAGAAUUCCCGGUGUAGCGGUGAAAUGCGUAGAGAUCGGGAGGAAUACCAGUGGCGAAGGCGGCCUUCUGGACUGACACUGACGCUGAGGUACGAAAGCGUGGGUAGCAAACAGGAUUAGAUACCCUGGUAGUCCACGCCGUAAACGAUGUCGACUAGCCGUUGGGGUCCUCGAGACCUUUGUGGCGCAGUUAACGCACUAAGUCGACCGCCUGGGGAGUACGGCCGCAAGGUUAAAACUCAAAUGAAUUGACGGGGGCCCGCACAAGCGGUGGAGCAUGUGGUUUAAUUCGAUGCAACGCGAAGAACCUUACCUACCCUUGACAUCGUGCGAACUUUCCAGAGAUGGAUUGGUGCCUUCGGGAACGCACAGACAGGUGCUGCAUGGCUGUCGUCAGCUCGUGUUGUGAAAUGUUGGGUUAAGUCCCGUAACGAGCGCAACCCUUGUCCCUAUUUGCCAGCGAUUCGGUCGGGAACUCUAGGGAGACUGCCGGUGACAAACCGGAGGAAGGUGGGGACGACGUCAAGUCAUCAUGGCCCUUACGGGUAGGGCUACACACGUGCUACAAUGGCCGGUACAAUGGGUUGCAAAGCGGCGACGUGGAGCUAAUCCCAUAAAGCCGGUCUCAGUCCGGAUCGGAGUCUGCAACUCGACUCCGUGAAGUCGGAAUCGCUAGUAAUCGUGCAUCAGAAUGGCACGGUGAAUACGUUCCCGGGCCUUGUACACACCGCCCGUCACACCAUGGGAGUGGACUGCACCAGAAGUGGUUAGC
RNAcentral lists this ribosomal RNA (1362 nucleotides) under Halomonas sp. HS215. RNAcentral describes it as "16S ribosomal RNA". It matches the Rfam family "Bacterial small subunit ribosomal RNA", at positions 77 to 1434 of the family's 1533-position model. The record is from RNAcentral. Lineage: Bacteria; Pseudomonadati; Pseudomonadota; Gammaproteobacteria; Oceanospirillales; Halomonadaceae.